CUGCUGUUAAAAAGCUCGUAGUUGGAUCAAGAGUCGGACAGUGCAAGGUGGCCCUGUUUGUCCGUCUUGGUUCCGACCAUGGCGGCGGCAGCGGGUUAACCCCUUGCGCCAAACUGUCCGCUCUAACAGGCCGAAACGGUUCCCUGUGAGUAGGUCCUUCACGGGAUCGAAAGCGCCUACGCAUCAACCAUAUGCAUACGGGACGUCGGCCAAUGUUACUGUGAACAAACCAGCGUGUCCAAAGCAGGCUUUCGCCUGAAUGUUCGAGCAUGGAAUAACAAGGGAUCGAUUCUCUCGGUUCUUUUUGUUGGUUUUUAACCCGAGAAGGAGUAAUUCAGGCCACGGUGUCUGAGUUGGGUUCCCCUGCUCUUCGGAGUAGGCCCCAAUUAGGCCGUGUCCUUACGGGAUCAAUAGGGACUGACGGGGUCGUACGUACUCUCGCGUCAGAGGUGAAAUUCUUAGAUCGCGGGAAGACGAACUUCUGCGAAAGCAUUCGACAAGAAUGUCUUC
Molecule: ribosomal RNA, 510 nt
Filed under: uncultured marine eukaryote
Lineage: Eukaryota
Description: bacterial SSU rRNA
Rfam family: Eukaryotic small subunit ribosomal RNA
Source: RNAcentral